CCUACGGGAGGCAGCAGUGAGGAAUAUUGGUCAAUGGACGAGAGUCUGAACCAGCCAAGUCGCGUGAAGGAGGACUGCACUGUGGGUUGUAAACCUCUUUUGUCGGGGAGCAAAGAGAGUCACGUGUGACUGAUUGAGAGUACCCGAAGAAAAAGCAUCGGCUAACUCCGUGCCAGCAGCCGCGGUAAUACGGAGGAUGCGAGCGUUAUCCGGAUUUAUUGGGUUUAAAGGGUGCGCAGGCGGAGGUGCAAGUCAGCGGUCAAAGUGCGGGGCUCAACCCCGUACUGCCGUUGAAACUGCAUCCCUUGAGUGCGCGAGAAGUAUGCGGAAUGCGGGGUGUAGCGGUGAAAUGCAUAGAUAUCACGCAGAACUCCGAUUGCGAAGGCAGCAUACCGGCGCGAAACUGACGCUCAUGCACGAAAGCGUGGGUAUCGAACAGGAUUAGAUACCCGAGUAGUC
This 459-nucleotide ribosomal RNA is filed under the name uncultured bacterium. Its description in RNAcentral is "partial 16S ribosomal RNA". It matches the Rfam family "Bacterial small subunit ribosomal RNA", at positions 338 to 795 of the family's 1533-position model. The record is from RNAcentral.